Molecule: ribosomal RNA, 460 nt
Filed under: uncultured bacterium
Lineage: Bacteria
Description: partial 16S ribosomal RNA
Rfam family: Bacterial small subunit ribosomal RNA
Source: RNAcentral
CCUACGGGUGGCUGCAGUGAGGAAUAUUGGUCAAUGGACGAGAGUCUGAACCAGCCAAGUAGCGUGAAGGAUGACUGCCCUAUGGGUUGUAAACUUCUUUUAUAUGGGAAUAAAAUGUUCCACGUGUGGGAUUUUGUAUGUACCAUAUGAAUAAGGAUCGGCUAACUCCGUGCCAGCAGCCGCGGUAAUACGGAGGAUCCGAGCGUUAUCCGGAUUUAUUGGGUUUAAAGGGAGCGUAGGUGGAUUGUUAAGUCAGUUGUGAAAGUUUGCGGCUCAACCGUAAAAUUGCAGUUGAAACUGGAAGUCUUGAGUACAGAAGAGGUAGGCGGAAUAAGUGAAGUAGCGGUGAAAUGCUUAGAUAUCACGAAGAACUCCGAUUGCGAAGGCAGCUCACUGGACUGCAACUGACACUGAGGCUCGAAAGUGUGGGUAGCAAACAGGAUUAGAUACCCGGGUAGUC